Molecule: long non-coding RNA, 932 nt
Filed under: Astyanax mexicanus (Mexican tetra)
Lineage: Eukaryota; Metazoa; Chordata; Actinopteri; Characiformes; Acestrorhamphidae
Description: lncRNA (ENSAMXG00005018341.1)
Source: RNAcentral
UUUUUAUUUUUACAGGGAUAUACAAAGGGGAGUUACAAUUGGAUAAAGACAAAAAAUGAAAAUUGGAAAAAAUCAUAAAUGAAAAAAAAAAAAAAAAAAAAAAAAAAAAAACAAUUCUGGAAUCCAGUUGAAAAUUGAUGAUGGUAUUUAGGAUGUUUGAGCGAGCACAGAGUGAUGCUGAUAAUUGCCUGUCUGAGAGGCCAUGUAGUCCCACAGUCUAGUCCCCAGACAUCACAGCCCAGCCCAGAGCACACUGCACACUUACUGGAUAGAUGACAGACAAAUAGAAAAUGGUAAUUUAUGUGUGAGGCUUUUUUUUUUUUUUUUCCUUUUUUUUUUUCAGAGAGUCGACAGGCCACCAAACCCCUCAGAGACCACAGAGAGUGAUACUGCUGCUCAGAAAUCACAGCAUAAUGUGCCGGAAAAGGGAUGAUACUCCAGGGUGUGAGGUCCAGAUUCUGCUCUCUAUGGGGAGGCCGGUGCAGUGAAAGAGGGAUGAAAGCAAACACAUGGGAAAAAAGCCGGCGCUGCUUGUUUUGAUGUGAAUGGAGCAGCAGCUUAAAGGAUCACACCAUUCAAAGCAGCUGUGAGGGUAGAGAGGACUUCCAGAGUGGAGGUCUACAGCAGAGCAGAAUCUGUGGUACACUAGAGCCCCCUGUAGGCCUGGAAAGGUAUUGUGGAAAGGUGGGAGCUCCGUUCGACAGUGAAAGUGUGUGGUUUCUCAUCCUUCCCGCAGCUGAGACCUGGUUCCUCUUCAGCACGCAUACACUCAGAUCCAGGCCUAAACUGAGGAGGAAAAGGGGAGGUGGAGUGUGGACGGUGUGUCAGAACGAUGACAGAUUGACGACAGAAUGAGUGAGAACAGAGGGUGGUGGAGGAACCCCUGAUAGAGGCAAGCCUCUGCCUAACAAUUAUUGUCGAGCAAAUUACCA